CCUACGGGUGGCAGCAGUGAGGAAUAUUGGUCAAUGGACGAGAGUCUGAACCAGCCAAGUAGCGUGAAGGAUGACUGCCCUAUGGGUUGUAAACUUCUUUUAUAUGGGAAUAAAAUGUUCCACGUGUGGGAUUUUGUAUGUACCAUAUGAAUAAGGAUCGGCUAACUCCGUGCCAGCAGCCGCGGUAAUACGGAGGAUACGAGCGUUAUCCGGAUUUAUUGGGUUUAAAGGGAGCGUAGGUGGAUUGUUAAGUCAGUGGUGAAAGUUUGCGGCUCAACCGUGAAAGUGCAGUUGAAACUGGCAGUCUUGAGUACAGUAGAGGUGGGCGGAAUUCGUGGUGUAGCGGUGAAAUGCUUAGAUAUCACGAAGAACUCCGAUUGCGAAGGCAGCUCACUGGACUGCAACUGACACUGAGGCUCGAAAGUGUGGGUAUCGAACAGGAUUAGAUACCCCUGUAGUC
This 460-nucleotide ribosomal RNA is filed under the name uncultured bacterium. RNAcentral describes it as "partial 16S ribosomal RNA". It matches the Rfam family "Bacterial small subunit ribosomal RNA", at positions 338 to 795 of the family's 1533-position model. The record is from RNAcentral.